This 522-nucleotide ribosomal RNA is filed under the name uncultured Glomus. RNAcentral describes it as "SSU rRNA". It matches the Rfam family "Eukaryotic small subunit ribosomal RNA", at positions 569 to 1092 of the family's 1831-position model. The record is from RNAcentral. Lineage: Eukaryota; Fungi; Glomeromycota; Glomeromycetes; Glomerales; Glomeraceae.
AGCAGCCGCGGUAAUUCCAGCUCCAAUAGCGUAUAUUAAAGUUGUUGCAGUUAAAAAGCUCGUAGUUGAAUUUCGGGGUUAGUAGGUUGGUCAUGCCACUGGUAUGUACUGGUCUCACUGAUUCCUCCUUCCUGAUGAACCGUAAUGCCAUUAAUUUGGUGUUGCGGGGAGACUGGACUGUUACUUUGAAAAAAUUAGAGUGUUUAAAGCAGGCUAACGCUUGAAUACAUUAGCAUGGAAUAAUGAAAUAGGACGUUCGAUCCUAUUUUGUUGGUUUCUAGGAUUGACGUAAUGAUUAAUAGGGAUAGUUGGGGGCAUUAGUAUUCAAUUGUCAGAGGUGAAAUUCUUGGAUUUAUUGAAGACUAACUACUGCGAAAGCAUUUGCCAGGGAUGUUUUCAUUAAUCAAGGACGAAAGUUAGGGGAUCGAAGACGAUCAGAUACCGUCGUAGUCUUAACCAUAAACUAUGCCGACUAGGGAUCGGAUGAUGUUAAUUUUUUAAUGACUCAUUCGGCGCCUUACG